CCUACGGGUGGCAGCAGUGGGGAAUAUUGCACAAUGGGGGAAACCCUGAUGCAGCGACGCCGCGUGAGUGAGGAAGUAUUUCGGUAUGUAAAGCUCUAUCAGCAGGGAAGAAAAUGACGGUGCCUGACUAAGAAGCCCCUGCUAACUACGUGCCAGGAGCCGCGGUAAUACGUAGGGGGCAAGCGUGAUCCGGUUUUACUGGGGGUAACGGGAGCGCAGACGGAAUUGCAAGUCUGAUGUGAAAAUCCCGGGCCCAACCCGGGAACUGCAUUCGAAACUGUAGUUCUAGAGUGUCGGAGAGGGAAGUAGAAUUCCUGGUGUAGCGGUGAAAUGCGUAGAGAUCAGGAGGAACACCAGUGGCGAAGGCGGCUCGCUGGACGAUGACUGACGCUGAGGCUCGAAAGCGUGGGGAGCAAACAGGAUUAGAUACCCCAGUAGUC
RNAcentral lists this ribosomal RNA (440 nucleotides) under uncultured bacterium. RNAcentral describes it as "partial 16S ribosomal RNA". It matches the Rfam family "Bacterial small subunit ribosomal RNA", at positions 338 to 795 of the family's 1533-position model. The record is from RNAcentral.